AUCAGCUCCAGAAAAUACUGUUCACACUUCCCCAGAUUCUCCUUGUCACCAUUAUAGCCCUUGAGAAGUUCCAUUUCCUCCUUAGUAGGGCAGAAUUUGAUAAGAUUUUCCACUUGAUCAGCAUCUAAUGUUGAUUCAUCCAUUGCUAGAACUGCAGCCAUCAUGUCAGACAGUGGCAUCUUAACUUUUGUAAGCAUAAUUUCAGUGUUGUUGGCCCUCCUCAGGUCAAUCAGAUGAACUUUGUCAGUUUUUGAUCCAACAGAUUUGCGUCUUCCUCCACCUUUGCCUCCUGAAUCAGCAGGUUUGGGGACUGUUGCCGAGAAAAGGCUCUCUAGCUCUGACACGUCAAACUCUGGUGCAAUUUGGGGCUCCCCAUGUCUUUGCAACUCCUCCCACAAACUUCCUUGUAAUGCCCUUGUUACUUUGCUCCAAUGCAGAGGCUUUAAGGAUGAUCUUCUAGGUGCUGUGGCUGUUGAACCCAUCCCUAAAGAACGUGAAAACCCACGCCCUCUUCCAGAAGCUAGGCCUCUUGUAUCAGUUACAGCUCCUUUGCCACCUAAUGGAGGAGGCGGAGGGGGUCCAACACCUGUACGUCCAGGAGGAGCAGGAGGCCCAGGAGGUGCAGGAGGCCCAGGAACACGGCCACCAGGAGGAGGUGGGGGAGGUGGGCC
Molecule: unclassified non-coding RNA, 671 nt
Filed under: Hevea brasiliensis (rubber tree)
Lineage: Eukaryota; Viridiplantae; Streptophyta; Magnoliopsida; Malpighiales; Euphorbiaceae
Source: RNAcentral